This is a transfer RNA of Operophtera brumata (winter moth), 73 nucleotides long. It matches the Rfam family "tRNA". Rfam says of the family: Transfer RNA (tRNA) molecules are approximately 80 nucleotides in length. Their secondary structure includes four short double-helical elements and three loops (D, anti-codon, and T loops). NCBI's taxonomy places the organism in Eukaryota, Metazoa, Arthropoda, Insecta, Lepidoptera, Geometridae. The record is from Rfam.
UGUUCUAUGGCCGAACUGGUAAAGGAAUUGCCGAUCACAGGCAAGGUUGCGGGUUAGAGUCCUGCUGGAACGG